ACCACACAGCCUUCCUUCACCACACAGCCACCGCUCUCUCUCACAAUCUCUCUCUCGGGCGAUUUUCUCUCGCGAUCUCUCUCACCACCACACCGAGUCCGAGUCUCACUCUCACCCCAAAUUAGGUAAUUAAUUUAGUGUUUUGAAAUCUAAUUUCUGUUGGUAGAUUUUGCUUUGAAGUUUUCAAAUGGUUUUAAGAUUUAAUUUUUUGUUUUGUUAUUCCGUAACCUGACUAUUGUUGUUUUAUUGUUUGAUUUUAUUAGAAGGUUAUCUUAAUUAUGGCUCUAUAUCUUUCGUUGGUGCUUUGAUCUCUUUAUUGCUCAUAUCUUCCUUCAUGUUGCAGCUUUAUUAGUUGAGCGAGCAGCAUCCUUGAAGUUGACGAAUAUGUGAGAGUCCCAUUGGGUUACUGCCAAUGACCAAAUGUAGAUGUUAUGCAAAUGGAUGGGAAUGGCAUUUACAGUAAAACGUUUAGAUC
This 475-nucleotide long non-coding RNA is filed under the name Malus domestica (apple). RNAcentral describes it as "long non-coding RNA (MDOM_LNC002642)". The record is from RNAcentral. Lineage: Eukaryota; Viridiplantae; Streptophyta; Magnoliopsida; Rosales; Rosaceae.